RNAcentral lists this ribosomal RNA (253 nucleotides) under uncultured bacterium. RNAcentral describes it as "partial 16S ribosomal RNA". It matches the Rfam family "Bacterial small subunit ribosomal RNA", at positions 524 to 776 of the family's 1533-position model. The record is from RNAcentral.
UACAGAGGUCUCAAGCGUUGUUCGGAUUCAUUGGGCGUAAAGGGUGCGUAGGCGGCGCGGUAAGUCGGGUGUGAAAUCUCGGAGCUUAACUCCGAAACUGCACUCGAUACUGCCGUGCUUGAGGACUGGAGAGGAGACUGGAAUUUACGGUGUAGCGGUGAAAUGCGUAGAUAUCGUAAGGAAGACCAGUGGCGAAGGCGGGUCUCUGGGCCUGUCCUGACGCUCAGGCGCGAAAGCUAGGGGAGCGAACAGG